This 253-nucleotide ribosomal RNA is filed under the name uncultured bacterium. RNAcentral's name for it is "partial 16S ribosomal RNA". It matches the Rfam family "Bacterial small subunit ribosomal RNA", at positions 524 to 776 of the family's 1533-position model. The record is from RNAcentral.
UACGUAGGGGGCAAGCGUUGUCCGGAUUUAUUGGGCGUAAAGCGCUCGCAGGUGGUUCGUCGCGUCGUGCGUGAAAGACCCCGGCUCAACUGGGGGGUGUCGUGCGAUACGGGCGGACUGGAGGCCAGUAGGGGGAUGCGGAAUUCCGGGUGUAGUGGUGGAAUGCGUAGAGAUCCGGAGGAACACCAGCGGCGAAGGCGGCAUCCUGGACUGGUCCUGACACUCAGGAGCGAAAGCGUGGGGAGCGAGCCGG